UUUUCCUUGAACCUCAGUCCCUCCGCCAUCUGCCGGCGGCGAUGCUUCGAUGGCCCCCAAAAUUACACCACCUCAUCUCCUAAGCCUCCUCUUUCCAUUUCUGUAACCAGUGUCCCUAAAACAUUAGCCGAACUUGUCGAAUAUUGGUUUGAAGUAGAGGCUGCUCCGCCGCCCACGGCGGCGCCGAUGCCAAACCCCACCAAAAUCACACCCCUGACUCUCCUCAACUCCCUCUUCCCAAAUCCCUGAUUAGUUUCCUUCAAAUCUCGCCUGAUGUUCUCGAAUUUAAAAUCAAAGAAGGGCAGAACCCUAGAAUGUUGAAGCUGUUUGAUUUCUUCCUAAUUUCUUGAGUCUAGAGUUUGAUUCGAGUAACGAAACAAUGUUUUUGUUUGUUUUUGGUGCAGAACAAACGUUUACCAUUAUUCCGUGGCUCGAAUAAGAGUCUAGCCUUGUUCAACCUUGCGCAGGCAAGUCUUCCUAUUUUUCCUUUAUUAUUUGAAAUUCCUUGUUAUUAGAAAUUAGUUUAAACUUUGCUCUCUGUUAAUCCUUUCAUCAUGCAGUGUUCUACGUCCAUUUAGUUUUAUUAACAUAUGCCUUAAGUCUUUAAUUUUCAUUUCUUAUUCAUUAGUUUAGUUAGAUAACUUGAUUAGUAUAUCUACAUGUUCUUCGAUUUUUGUUUGCCAAGUGUUUUAGAUUUUCUUUUUCACUUUAUGUUGAUUUUGUGCUAAUUAUUGGGUUUGGUAGAUAAUAUAGUUAAUUCUGUUUGAUUCUAUAGUUAGCUCUAAAUUCUGUUAAUUAAUUCGAAGCCUAAAUAAGGUUAGUUGAAUUGUUAGGGUUUAAUUCAAGCUUAAGUUAGGUUUAGUUUAAUUUUUGGAAGUUUUUGUUAAUUAAAGCGUUGUUUGAUUGUUGCUGAAAAUUUUAAGGCCCUUAUUAGUUAACCAUGGUCAUUUUUGACCAAGUUCAAAGGGCUAGGGUUAGUUUAACCUAAGUUUGUAAUUUCAGACAUAGUUCAAGGGUAAUUGGGGCAAUUUCAAAUGAAGAAUAAUGCAGUAACUGAAAUUGGAAACCCCUAGAACAUUCUGGAUGGGGUUCCAGCUAGGAUUUCAGAGAACUUAGUGAUAUAACUUUGCCAACAAGGCAUAAAAUAAGGGACUAACUAGCUAAAGCUGGGAAAUAAAAGAGGGGUUGAGGGUGUAAAGUAAAAUCUAAAAGAAGCCCUAAGUUUUGCCUAUAAAAAGGCAUAUCCAUGCCUUGUUUUACAAGUUUUAAAAGCUUGGGAGAAAAAGAAAAAGAGGUUGAAACAAUUUAGAUAUACAGAAAUUUCGAAAUAGCUUGAGAGUUAGUAAGUGAUUUCAGAUUUGGGUGUCCUGGCUGUUAGAAAUUAGUAUCAGUUUCUCAGAUUACAUUCCUAGGGGUUUUGAACUAUUGAGUCUACUGUUUCAUUGAAUUUUGGAGUCAUUUUCUGGGUUUUAACAUUGGUCCGUGGUUGUGUUGUUGCUGUUGCUGAUCCCUGCUAUUCCCUUUUGCUGAUCUCACUAUUUUCCUUGUUUCAAUCUCCAGGUAUUUACCUCACACCUUAAUGUAUGAAACUGGGAGAACUUGAAGUUGGCUUAUUCAAGUUGGAAUUUGUAUUUGAGCAGUGAUAUAACAAGGAAUUUG
This 1659-nucleotide long non-coding RNA is filed under the name Nicotiana benthamiana. Its description in RNAcentral is "long non-coding RNA (NBEN_LNC015272)". The record is from RNAcentral. Lineage: Eukaryota; Viridiplantae; Streptophyta; Magnoliopsida; Solanales; Solanaceae.